This is a long non-coding RNA of Talpa occidentalis (Iberian mole), 452 nucleotides long. RefSeq lists it as uncharacterized. Lineage: Eukaryota; Metazoa; Chordata; Mammalia; Eulipotyphla; Talpidae. The record is from RefSeq and is a predicted model, not a curated record. The transcript is spliced from 3 exons.
CCUGUACAAGGACAGCACACCACCAGGAAUGUACAAUAUGUGCAACUUUCCUCUAAAAUCUAGGCUCAAAAGUGUUCUCAACUUCCACAGUCCUCUAAGUGUUUCUUAGAUCAAGAAACAAGAGACAUUAAUCUUAGAAAUGGAGGCGGUGACCUUUGAGGACGUGGCUGUGGCCUUCACCUGGGAGGAGUGGCAGGACCUGGACGACGCUCAGAGGACCCUCUACAGGGACGUGAUGCUGGAGACCUACAGGAGCUUGGCAUCCCUGGGUGAGCCAGACUCCUUCACCACCAAGUGCAAACUCUCCUUCAGUGAUACAUGUGCAGCUUUUUCUAACUAUGUACGUUAUAGGUUUAAGACUUCAUGCCAACUAGAUUGUUCACCACCCCAAGAAUGUAUACAAUUAGCCCCUCAUGUGCAAAAGUUACAACUCUGCUAUUGUCACUCUUCAA